CUGAUUCUCAAAACCUUAUCAGAGCCUGGGGCUUGAACAAAGCAGAGGAAAUGGAGGAGCAGAAGUUAACUUUAGUAUUCAACCACCUGCCAGCAGUCCCUCAAGCAGUCGCCAAGGCUCUCCACAACAGAGGCUGGAAUGAUAUAGUACAGGAAUGAAGGAGUCAUGUUAGGAAAGGGAGGAUGAGUAAGCUGAAGAUUGUGGUCUGUCCCUGCUGUAUACAACCAUAACCCUGGAAAAAACAUUUUUCUUUCAUUCUGCCUUCCCAAAACAAGGACUUAGAACCCAGCACACAGUGAAAGGCAAGUAGAAGGACUCUGCUUAAAUAAGAGGAAGCUGAGAGGUUUGUUCUGCUAAGUGAAGCUGGAAAUGCCUUAUCUAAUUCAGUUUCUGAGAAGAGCAAGUUGAGAUAUUGUCAGCAAAUCAUUUCUUUUCAUUCCAUUUCCCCCUGUUUUUAUUAAACUUUCUUUUUGUUAAGAUUACUAUUGUAUGGGUUAUUUCAUGAAGACCAUUCAAGAAGAAGAGAAACCUAAGUGCGGAAGAUUAACGAAUCUCCAGAACCUAUACCCUACCCAACAGCUUGGAAUGGACCCAUGUUAUGCCCCAUACAUUUUGAUUGCUUCUCCUUUGUCACUUGGGGAAGCAAACAUGACUGCUAGCUUUUAAUUUGGAGAAAAGGGAAGUGUCAGUAUUUGAUCUGUUUGACUUUCAUUAUGCACAGUCACAGAUAGAAUGGAAAUGAUGAGCAGACAAGUUCAUAAAAAUGAUCGUAUGGGAAAUUACAGCUGGAACAAGUUAUCACAUCUCUAUGGAUCCCACAUCUACAGUCUUACUUUAUAAGAGCAUAAAAAUGUGAAUCAGGGCCAAUGAAACAGUUUUUGUUGCUUAGUCCUUUAAGAAAAUACAAGACCCUGGAAA
Molecule: long non-coding RNA, 918 nt
Organism: Alligator sinensis (Chinese alligator)
Lineage: Eukaryota; Metazoa; Chordata; Crocodylia; Alligatoridae
Exons: 4
Source: RefSeq, a predicted model, not a curated record